UACGGAGGGUGCGAGCGUUAUCCGGAAUUACUGGGUUUAAAGGGUGCGUAGGCGGCCAUGCCAGUCAGAGGUGAAAUCCUAGGGCUUAACUGUAGAAUUGCCUUUGAUACUGUAUGGCUUGAAUCGGGUUGAGGUAUGCGGAAUGUGACAUGUAGCGGUGAAAUGCAUAGAUAUGUCAUAGAACACCAAUUGCGAAGGCAGCAUGCUAGACCUUGAUUGACGCUGAGGCACGAAAGCGUGGGUAGCGAACAGG
Molecule: ribosomal RNA, 253 nt
Filed under: uncultured bacterium
Lineage: Bacteria
Description: partial 16S ribosomal RNA
Rfam family: Bacterial small subunit ribosomal RNA
Source: RNAcentral